AGAGACUUCGUCACGUAUUUGGAAGACAUGAUUCAGAGUUCUGAAAAACCUGGUGAAAAGGUCCUGGAAUAAGUUAAAUUGGCAAGCCAUUUCUAAAGGAAUUACCCAAUAAUAUUUUUGGUGAGCCAGCCAGGAGAGUAAAGCUAAGGUACCAGGAGACCAAGGCCCUAAGCUGAGCCAAUGGGAAACCUCUUGGACCGCAUCACCAUGCAGAUUCUACUGACUUCAUCACUAGGCCAUAUCCCUGAUGAAUGGGAAAGAUUUGAUCCUGAGGAUUUAAAACAAGAACGGGGAAGAAUAGGAAAAUAUAAAGAAAUUGGAUUAAAGCAAAACCAAAACCAGCAAGGCAAAUAUUAAAUCCUGUAACUCCAUGCUCAAGACCCAGGGCAA
Molecule: long non-coding RNA, 390 nt
Organism: Fukomys damarensis (Damara mole-rat)
Lineage: Eukaryota; Metazoa; Chordata; Mammalia; Rodentia; Bathyergidae
Exons: 3
Source: RefSeq, a predicted model, not a curated record